GAGUUUGAUCGUGGCUCAGAUUGAACGCUGGCGGCAUGCCUUACACAUGCAAGUCGAACGGCAGCACGGGAGCUUGCUCCUGGUGGCGAGUGGCGAACGGGUGAGUAAUGCAUCGGAACGUAUCCUGGAGUGGGGGAUAACGUAGCGAAAGUUACGCUAAUACCGCAUAUUCUGUGAGCAGGAAAGCGGGGGACCUUCGGGCCUCGCGCUCUUGGAGCGGCCGAUGUCGGAUUAGCUAGUUGGUGAGGUAAAGGCUCACCAAGGCGACGAUCCGUAGCAGGUCUGAGAGGAUGAUCUGCCACACUGGAACUGAGACACGGUCCACGAC
This 328-nucleotide ribosomal RNA is filed under the name bacterium enrichment culture clone ALO1_GLFRUDD03GDID7. RNAcentral's name for it is "bacterial SSU rRNA". It matches the Rfam family "Bacterial small subunit ribosomal RNA", at positions 9 to 336 of the family's 1533-position model. The record is from RNAcentral.